Rhopilema esculentum is the source of this 1871-nucleotide non-coding RNA. Lineage: Eukaryota; Metazoa; Cnidaria; Scyphozoa; Rhizostomeae; Rhizostomatidae. The record is from RefSeq and is a predicted model, not a curated record.
GGGGGGGGGAAACACUUAUUAUUGCCUAACAGGGAUCCAGUCAUUGUCAAUGAGGGCCAAAGCUAAAAUGUUAAAGUAUUAGCCGCAAAUGGUAGUAUUUUUUGACAAUAACCCUCAAAUGGUAGCAUAAGGACGGAAAAUUAUGUUAUUGAUGGCAUUCAUUUCUUUGUACGGGUCUGGUCCUUUUUUGACAAAAUACUUUGCCAUUGACUGUUGUUGAUUCAGAAAAGAUAAAACAUUGUUCAUUGUCUAUAAUAAAUUGACUAUAACUCUGCUUUAUAAUCCUGGUCCAUUUCAGAAAUCACCCAUUUUUAGAUUAUCUAACAUAUACCAAAUCUUUAUUCCAGGAAGUUGCUUUGUUUGCGACUAAUGGUGAGAGUUCCAUUCCUUGCGUUGCAAAAUACGAGUUCUUCUUGAAGAAUAUGAAUGCUCUCAUCUCGAUUAUAAAGCACAUGACGGACAUCGAAUCGCCAAGAAAGGGGAAUCUGGAAAAGCUAAAUGAUACUGAGUACCGAACAUUCUCCUUCGCUCAGGUAAAACUGGCUUUUACAUUGUCACAAAAAAAUAUCCAUUUCUUUCGCUAUCUUCCGCGAACUUCUAUUGAUUACAUAAACAUUGAAUUUUUGUGUAUCUUUUUGCAGAUAAAGACCCAAGCAAAGGCCUGUUUCAGUGUUCUUCAGGAUCUUCAUUUGAUGGUGAGUUUUCUACCCCUUUGUAAGUUCACGGUCGUUGUAGCGAAACUGUCUUAAAUAGGGAACAAAGUUCACAUAAUAAAAUAACCUAUUUGCAUUGUGAUACUUAAAUGCAACAAAAAUAAUUUAUUUUCUUAUUUGUUGUUAUAUAUUAUUGCAGACAAAAGAUCAAGCUGUCAUAUCUUCUACAAAGAAGUUUGCACGUCUUAUUCGGAACAUCGUUCAAUCCUGGGACACAUUCUUCUUUAGCAUAGCUGUUGUUGACAAGGGUCCAGGCAAAAUCGAUCCGUCAAACAACAUCAAACUCUUCUACAUGCUGACGAAAUUUGAUAUGGCAGAGUUCGCCAAGAACAUAGAAAAGCAGAAGAAGAGAAUGGAGUUAGUGCUAUUGAAAACUCUGAUGAAGCUGGAUGUUGGUUCCACAAAGAACAAGCUGUCAGCUGGAAAUAUCUUCAAACUGAAAAAUUCGAAAUUUGAAGAACUCUUAUUCAGUUCUAAUGCUGCCUGUGAUAAUGAAGGAGAAACUGUUAAUGGACUUCUUGAUGAUAGUUUCGCAUAUGUUCCUAAACCAAUAAGUGAUCCAAAAUACUAUCAUCCUAAGAAACGCAGCUCUUAUGUGGCUUAUGAUGUCACAUUAAAUGAAGAGCAAUGUGUUGUUGAAAAUUUGGUGGAAUCGCCAAAGAGGUCGCAUGCAUCUGACCAAGUGAAUGGUAUAAAAUUUCAGGCUGCCUUGAAUAGCAUCAAUGUGGUGAAUCCUAGACAUUAGGUAAUCACUAAAAGGACAUUAUUUCCUCAAGUAUAAUAUUAGACAUUACACACGCUGUCGUCAAACAGUGCUUUCUUUGUUUUGUAUCCAACGCGACUAAUUGCUUGUCUGACGCAUUAUAAAUAACUUUGUUAUGAUUGUACGUUGUUUAACCUAGUUUUAGAAAAUCACGUAAUUUUUGUUGAUGUUUUGACCUGGUUUCUAUGACCAGGGUAAUUAAAAAAUUUGCUUAAAUAGAGUGCAACUCUCAGUAAAUUUCAGAUAGGAUUUGAGGUUGCCUCACAUACGAAUGUAUUUUCUGUGAGCAUAAUCAUCAUAAUCAGGACUAUUUCUCGUGAUAUAUUUAGUGUCACUGGGAGUUUCUACGCAAAAACAGGGCUUAGUACGAGACUACAGGAAAUUCCCCACACUAA